This 468-nucleotide ribosomal RNA is filed under the name uncultured bacterium. RNAcentral's name for it is "partial 16S ribosomal RNA". It matches the Rfam family "Bacterial small subunit ribosomal RNA", at positions 28 to 507 of the family's 1533-position model. The record is from RNAcentral.
GACGAACGCUGGCGGCGUGCUUAACACAUGCAAGUCGAACGGAAAGGCCCUGCUUUUGUGGGGUGCUCGAGUGGCGAACGGGUGAGUAACACGUGAGUAACCUGCCCUUGACUUUGGGAUAACUCCAGGAAACUGGGGCUAAUACCGGAUAGGAGCUCCUGCUGCAUGGUGGGGGUUGGAAAGUUUCGGCGGUUGGGGAUGGACUCGCGGCUUAUCAGCUUGUUGGUGGGGUAGUGGCUUACCAAGGCUUUGACGGGUAGCCGGCCUGAGAGGGUGACCGGCCACAUUGGGACUGAGAUACGGCCCAGACUCCUACGGGAGGCAGCAGUGGGGAAUAUUGCACAAUGGGCGGAAGCCUGAUGCAGCAACGCCGCGUGCGGGAUGACGGCCUUCGGGUUGUAAACCGCUUUCGCCUGUGACGAAGCGUGAGUGACGGUAAUGGGUAAAGAAGCACCGGCUAAUUACGUG